UCCAUGCACUGUUGACUGGUCGUAAAACUCUACUUUUCUCGCUAACAGCCGCCCGCCACUUGUCAAGUAGCACCGUGGGAGGAGCGAGGAGCGAGAUGGAAUCCUAGGGUGCUGUCUCGUCCUGACGUCCGUAAUUAACGUGCCGCUGGUGUCGCCUUGUAGCGUGCAGCCCGCUCUGUCCUGCACUCGAGGCACAGAGUGAGAUUCGUUCUUCUUGCGCUCCUACUGGAGGAGGUCUGCUAUAUAGACCAGCGUUGCAACGAGAACAACACAGAUACGAAGGACCAGCGUUGCCGGGAUAUCGUCCAGCGCUCUGCUCUCGGGUUGUCCUGUCUAAUGGCGCGAGAUGCUGGACUCCCACGCGUGGACAAUGAACUUGAUACGAAGUGCUGCAAAAUUGUCACCAUCCAACAAGUCGAUUCGUCUGCUUUCUCAACGUGGAUUGGGUGAGAUCGGCAAGUGUCCAAACAUCAACGAGACUAUAUUUGUCUCGUUAACUUGGUGGUGUGCAUUGCUUGCUUCCAUUAUCAUUCAUUCUGGCAAUGUUACCGUCUCUCGCUAUGGAAUAGACCUAUAUACCAUUGUAUUAGUUCUGCAUUAAGUUCGCCUUCUUAUGAAACCCUAAAACUCGGUUCAACCCACAAAGAUUUUUCUUUCUUGUGA
This is a long non-coding RNA of Triticum aestivum (bread wheat), 663 nucleotides long. RefSeq lists it as uncharacterized. The record is from RefSeq and is a predicted model, not a curated record. The transcript is spliced from 2 exons. Lineage: Eukaryota; Viridiplantae; Streptophyta; Magnoliopsida; Poales; Poaceae.